GUCAAAAUGCUAGCUUAAACAAACUUGUAAAUAAAAAGUAAUUAUAAGAGAAUAUAAUAAACAUAAACCAAAACAAACCAUUUUUCAACCCUAGUAUAGGAGAUAGAAAAGGAAAAAUACGCUAUAACUGAAGUACCGUAAGGGACCGCUGAAAAAGAAAUGAAAAACCUUUUAAACAAAAGCAAAGAAAAGAUUAAAUCUUGUACCUUUCGCAUCAUGGCUUAACUAGUCCAUUUAAGCAAAAAGAAUUUUAGUUUAAAACCCCGAAACCUGGCGAGCUACCUUAGGACUGUUUUAUGAACUAAUCCGUAUCUGUGGCAAAAGACUGGAAAGAUCUUAAGGUAGAGGUGAAAAGCCUACCGAGACAGGUUAUAGCUGGUUGCUUGAGAAAAGAGUGUAAGCUCCCCCAACUUACUCUCCUGCUAUAUUUAAAGAUCAGAGAGUUAAUAAAGGAAGAUAAUAGGGGUGCAGCCCUAUUAAUAAAGGAAACACCCUCUUAAGGAGAUUAAAGACUAUAAUAUUUUAAGAAAAUGUGUUUAAGUGGGCCUAAUAGCAGCCACCAACAUAAAAGCGUUAAAGCUUGUUCACGAACUAUCUUUAGAUCUCAGUAUACGCCCUGAAAUCCCCUAAAUUAUCAAGCUGUUCUAGAAACUAGAAGAAAUAAUGUUAAGAUGAGUAAUAAGAAGCUUAGAACUUCUCCCAGCACAUCCUUGACCCGGAAACGAACCCCCGCCGGGAAUUAACGGCCCAACCACGGAAUUGAGAAAUACACCAAGACUUUGCUCCCUAUUCACCGUCCAACCCACACUGGUGUGCUACAAACGAAAGAAUAAAAGAAAAAGAAGGAACUCGGCAAAACAAGCCUCGCCUGUUUACCAAAAACACCACCUCUUGCAUUCCUAGUAUAAGAGGCUCCGCCUGCCCGGUGACAAUAGUUCAACGGCCGCGGUAUUUUGACCGUGCGAAGGUAGCGUAAUCACUUGUCCUUUAAAUGAAGACCUGUAUGAAUGGCAUCACGAGGGCUUAACUGUCUCCUUUUUCUGUUCAAAGAAAUUUAUCUCUCCGUGCAGAAGCGGGGAUAACUACAUAAGACGAGAAGACCCUGUGGAGCUUUAAGUAUUGAUAGUCCCUCUAAAAAAUCAUUCAAGGCUAAAAAAUAAGGAAUCUACUCUAAUACUUUUGGUUGGGGCGACCGCGGAGUACAAAUUAACCUCCAAGAAGACAGCAACUCAUUUAAACCACGAAAGUAACUUCUAAGUACUAGAAAAUCUAACAAAAGACCCGGCAAUGCCGAUCAACAAACCCAGUUACCCCAGGGAUAACAGCGCAAUCUUCUUCAAGAGCCCAUAUCGACAAGAAGGUUUACGACCUCGAUGUUGGAUCAGGACACCCCAACGGUGCAGCCGCUGUUAAAGGUUCGUUUGUUCAACGAUUAAAGUCCUACGUGAUCUGAGUUCAGACCGGAGUAAUCCAGGUCAGUUUCUAUCUAUGAUAAAAUUCCUUUUCAGUACGAAAGGACCAGAAGGAAGAAGCCUAUGUUUAAAAUACGCUUCAUCUUUUACCUCUGAUCUAAACUAAAGAGGGGUAAAGGACUACAUACCCCGCCCUAGAAAAGGGCUA
RNAcentral lists this ribosomal RNA (1620 nucleotides) under Solenostomus paradoxus (harlequin ghost pipefish). RNAcentral describes it as "16S ribosomal RNA". It matches the Rfam family "Bacterial large subunit ribosomal RNA". The record is from RNAcentral. Lineage: Eukaryota; Metazoa; Chordata; Actinopteri; Syngnathiformes; Solenostomidae.